Long non-coding RNA from Cyprinodon variegatus (sheepshead minnow), 2722 nucleotides. RefSeq lists it as uncharacterized. The transcript is spliced from 3 exons. NCBI's taxonomy places the organism in Eukaryota, Metazoa, Chordata, Actinopteri, Cyprinodontiformes, Cyprinodontidae. The record is from RefSeq and is a predicted model, not a curated record.
UUUGAAUAGUUACUGUUUGUUUCUUUUGUUGCAUGACUUCUUUUUAAGAACAAUUAUUAGUAUACUCUGUAUUGUUCAGUAUUGUUAUGACUGUCAUUUGUUUGCAGGCUUGAUUGCUGGUAUUGUGUGUGGCGUAAUAGUGGUGGCUGCUAUAAUUUUAGUAAUACUUUUUCGAAGGAAAAUCUUCAACAUUCAAGCUUCUGCAGCGGAAGAAACAGAGCGAAAGACAACUGUUGUUCAAAACAUUGAGAGAAAUGAUGGAAAUCACCAACCUGAAGAGAUGGAGAUACAGAACAAGCAAUCAAACACAGCCUUUCCUCUUUAUUCUACAGUAAACCCACCAGCAGAACAGCUGCAUUAUGCCAGCGUCAAUAUCCAUAACAACACUUCCACUGAAAAUACAAUUGGAUCAUCCACAUCAAAUGAGAGUGUUAAAGGUGCAGCACAAACUCCAGCGGACACAACUCUGUACUCUACCAUUGCGAAGCUUGGAGAAUAGUGCAGUCAAGUUGCAGGGCUCCCCCAAGCAUAAGUAAAAGGUGUAUGAAGAAGUCUUUACUUGUCAUUGUUCCUCAAGGGUACAACAAAAAUUUUAGCAGCUCAAAACAAAAUAAAACAAUAUAAAACAAAACAACGAAGGCAAAUAGUGUAAUAAAAAGAAAAUAAAUAUUUUUAAAAAGUUGUAAAAGAUGUGUGUGUAUAGAUAGAAGAAAAAUAUGUACACACAAGUAUAUUUACACAGAGAUUGCAGUAUUGCACAAGAGAAUUUUGCACUUAUAUUAUAAACAGUGCUUUUUUAGGAUAAAUAUACAUUUGAUCAUGUGUUAAUCAUUACUAACACAAAUUAUAAAAAGAUUUUUUUGGCAUUGGGGGCCAGCUUAAUGCACAAACAAGAAAGAGAAGUUUAAACUCAUCAGAGACAUGAUAGUAUCUCUGAUGAGUUGAUAGUGAUAGCCUUAUACUGUCUACAGAGACAGAAAACCUUCCAGGACUCCCUGAAGCACAGAGGAACCAAUUUGAACAGAUGUUUUAAACUGUAAAAAAAAAUAAAUAAAAAAAUUAUGAGUUUUACAUAAGUCUUUGGAUAGCUCUUCCCAUAGCCUGCAUUCCUCCUGUGCCUGUUGCAUCUUCAAAGUGCAGCUUGUCCAAGGCUUAUAUUAAUACGUGUUUUGAGUUCUUCAGAAGAAAGACUGAGAGGACCGGCAAUAGUUUGCCAUAAGAUUUGUCAUCAUUUUUAUCAAAAAACCAAUAAGAGUGAGAGGAGAGACAUAAUGAGGUUUAAUGUGUUGGGAAAGAGGAUUUAUUUCUUUCUAGCUUUGACAUGUAACAUUAUUUAGUUUUAAGGACUAAUUAUUCAGUAAUUCAUUUAAAAUUUUGUCUCCUUUGCCUUUUUGCCUGUUUCAGGUACUUUUAUACUAUCAGCAUUGUAGUAUGCGUUUCAAAUUCUAUUGUUCAUUGUAUGUUAAGGUUUUGGUAAAAUAUAUAUUUUCAUUUAUCUAAGCUAUUUUGGUUUUGUUUGGCUUUUGCACAUAGCUGUUGCAUUUUUUAGCACCAAAAACUAUGAACUUAAUGGCAACUUUGUUCUAAACAGAUUGCAUACUACUUCAUUUUACUAUACUCUAUAGCAGGGGUAUUCAGUUAAACUCACUGAGGUCCAGUUAUAAUUUUGCAAAUAACAGAUAGAAAUGUAACUAUCUUUUGUCUUUUAUACUCGUGCCAACUCAUUUGUUCGAGUUUUUAUCAGUUUACUAAACUAUAAUGUAGGUUAAAAUGUAUUUUCUGGAACUUGUCAACAAAUAUGGUUUACCUAAAUCCCAUUUUUUUUUUUUAUAUUUACAAACCAGAAACUUUAUUCAGUCUCACUUGUCAGGCUCAAUCUCUCUGCCAGAGCAUACACUGUUGGAAGCCAUCCUAUUAUUAAACCCAACUCGUAAAGGGCUGGUUUCAUGGCUUUAUAAUAAAAUGUUUACUAUAAAAGAGACCUCCACACUUAAACUUAAAGCCUCAUGGUACGAGGACUUGAAUAUGACCAUACCGCGUCAGACAUGGGACUCUAUACUUAAACUGGUGAAUACAUCAUCUCUGUGUGCGCGCCAUUGCCUCGUUCAGUUAAAAUAGUACAUAGAGCCCACCUCUCCAAAGACAAACUAUGCCGUUUCUAUCACCCCUUACUGCGAUAAAUGCAAGACUGCCAUAGCCACACUGGUCCAUAUGUACUGGUCCUGCCCCGCUCUUGGUCAUUUCUCAACAGAUGUUUUCCGUACAAUGUCCUAGUUGGCGCGAGUGGUGAUAACACCUGGCCUUCUCCUGGCUCUGUUUGGUUUUAGUGGUGAGGGGUCACCUUUACCAGCCUCUAAACAAUAGGCACUGGCAUUCUGCUCACUGUUAGCGAGACGCACAGUUCGGAUCAGGUGGAAGGGCACAGCUCCUCCAACUCGCAAGCAGUGGUUAUGUGACCUCAUGUCAUGUCUGAAACUGCAAAAAAUGAGGUAUUCUAUUCAACAUUCAACUGGUAAAUUGGUAAAUGUUCCGCAAUAAAAGGGUUUAUUAGAUUUAAUAAAAUGUGUUCUGUCUCAGUCAGGGAUAGGAAAGUAGUGCGUUGACCUCUUGAUAGUGACCUAGGUGGGCUAAAUGUGAUUUUUUUUUUCUUUUUUUUUGUAGGGAUUGUUUUUUCUGUAUAUUAUAUUAUAUCUAUAUUUGCUGGAUAAAUAUAUUUUUUGUA